Molecule: non-coding RNA, 310 nt
Organism: Erythranthe guttata (spotted monkey flower)
Lineage: Eukaryota; Viridiplantae; Streptophyta; Magnoliopsida; Lamiales; Phrymaceae
Source: RefSeq, a predicted model, not a curated record
UGGCAAAUACGUUGACUGAAGAACAGCAGAUUGCUAUAUUGCAGAAAGCUUUCUACGAGUUUGACACAGAUCGAGAUGGGCGAUUAAACAUAGAGGAAUUCAAUAAAAUGAUGAGGUUACGUUAUGGUCGAUAUCUAACUCCGAAAGAGGUCCGUGACAUGUUCAAUAGACUCGACUACGACGGAAGCGGUACCGUAGAAUUGGACGAAUUGUUGAACGGGGCCAAGGGAGAGAGUAUAUAUGUGCUGAACAAAGAACAAAUUGUUGAGUUCCAAGAAGCUUUCACAAUGUUUGACAAAGAUGGUGAUGG